AUUGAACGCUGGCGGCAUGCCUUACACAUGCAAGUCGAACGGCAGCACGGGGGCAACCUUGGUGGCGAGUGGCGAACGGGUGAGUAAUAUAUCGGAACGUGCCUAGAGUGGGGGAUAACGUAGCGAAAGUUACGCUAAUACCGCAUACGAUCUACGGAUGAAAGUGGGGGACCGCAAGGCCUCAUGCUCGUGGAGCGGCCGAUAUCUGAUUAGCUAGUUGGUGGGGUAAAGGCCUACCAAGGCGACGAUCAGUAGCUGGUCUGAGAGGACGACCAGCCACACUGGGACUGAGACACGGCCCAGACUCCUACGGGAGGCAGCAGUGGGGAAUUUUGGACAAUGGGGGCAACCCUGAUCCAGCAAUGCCGCGUGAGUGAAGAAGGCCUUCGGGUUGUAAAGCUCUUUUGUCAGGGAAGAAACGGUGAGGGCUAAUAUCCUUUGCUAAUGACGGUACCUGAAGAAUAAGCACCGGCUAACUACGUGCCAGCAGCCGCCGUAA
RNAcentral lists this ribosomal RNA (499 nucleotides) under uncultured bacterium. RNAcentral describes it as "partial 16S ribosomal RNA". It matches the Rfam family "Bacterial small subunit ribosomal RNA", at positions 30 to 523 of the family's 1533-position model. The record is from RNAcentral.